Molecule: unclassified non-coding RNA, 336 nt
Filed under: soil metagenome
Description: partial contains 5.8S ribosomal RNA, internal transcribed spacer 2, and large subunit ribosomal RNA
Rfam family: 5.8S ribosomal RNA (bases 1-120)
Source: RNAcentral
GAUGAAGAACGUAGCGAAAUGCGAUAAGUAAUGUGAAUUGCAGAAUUCAGUGAAUCAUCGAAUCUUUGAACGCACAUUGCGCCCGCCAGUAAUCUGGCGGGCAUGCCUGUUCGAGCGUCAUUUCAACCAUCAAGCCCCCGGCUUGUGUUGGGGACCUGCGGCUGCCGCAGGCCCUGAAAAGCAGUGGCGGGCUCGCUGUCACACCGAGCGUAGUAGCAUACAUCUCGCUCUGGGCGUGCUGCGGGUUCCGGCCGUUAAACCACCUUCAUAACCCAAGGUUGACCUCGGAUCAGGUAGGAAGACCCGCUGAACUUAAGCAUAUCAAUAAGCGGAGGA